RNAcentral lists this ribosomal RNA (482 nucleotides) under uncultured bacterium. RNAcentral describes it as "bacterial SSU rRNA". It matches the Rfam family "Bacterial small subunit ribosomal RNA", at positions 954 to 1387 of the family's 1533-position model. The record is from RNAcentral.
GCAUAACGCGAAGAACCUUACCAAGGCUUGACAUCCCUUGACCGGCGACAGAGAUGUGCCCUCCUCCUUCGGGUAGGCAAGGGUGGACAGGUGGCGGCAUGGUUGUCGUCAGCUCGUGUCGUGAGAUGUUGGGUUAAGUCCCGCAACGAGCGCAACCCUUAUCCUUAGUUGCCAGCACAUAAUGGUGGGCACUCUAGGGAGACUGCCGAUGAUAAAUCGGAGGAAGGUGGGGAUGACGUCAAAUCAUCAUGCCCCUUAUGUCUUGGGCUACACACGUGCUACAAUGGUCGGUACAACGGGAAGCGAAAGAGUGAUCUGGAGCAAAUCCCAAUAAACCGAUCUCAGUUCGGAUUGUAGGCUGCAACUCGCCUACAUGAAGUCGGAGUUGCUAGUAAUCGCGAAUCAGAACGUCGCGGUGAAUGCGUUCCCGGGUCUUGUACACACCGAGUCGUGGGGAGGGCAAGGGCACACAGGGGGGGAUA